AUACGGAGGGUGCAAGCGUUGUUCGGAAUUACCGGGCGUAAAGCGCGUGCAGGCGGUAAGGUAAGUCAGAUGUGAAAGCCCCGGGCUCAACCCGGGAAGUGCAUUUGAUACUGCCUUUCUUGAGUAUGGGAGAGGAGAGUGGAAUUCCCAGUGUAGAGGUGAAAUUCGUAGAUAUUGGGAGGAACACCCGUGGCGAAGGCGACUCUCUGGACCAAUACUGACGCUGAGACGCGAAAGCGUGGGGAACGAACAGGAUUAGAAACCCUAGUAGUCC
This 274-nucleotide ribosomal RNA is filed under the name uncultured bacterium. Its description in RNAcentral is "partial 16S ribosomal RNA". It matches the Rfam family "Bacterial small subunit ribosomal RNA", at positions 523 to 796 of the family's 1533-position model. The record is from RNAcentral.